GACGAACGCGGCGGCGUGCCUAAUACAUGCAAGUAGAACGCUGAAGGAGGAGCUUGAUUCUCUGGAUGAGUUUGCGAACGGGUGAGUAACGCGUAGGUAACCUGCCUGGUAGCGGGGGAUAACUAUUGGAAACGAUAGCUAAUACCGCAUAAGAGUAGAUGUUGCAUGACAUUUACUUAAAAGGUGCAAUUGCAUCACUACCAGAUGGACUGCGUUGUAUUAGCUAGUUGGUGGGGUAACGGCUCACCAAGGCGACGAUACAUAGCCGACCUGAGAGGGUGAUCGGCCACACUGGGACUGAGACACGGCCCAGACUCCUACGGGAGGCAGCAGUAGGGAAUCUUCGGCAAUGGACGGAAGUCUGACCGAGCAACGCCGCGUGAGUGAAGAAGGUUUUCGGAUCGUAAAGCUCUGUUGUAAGAGAAGAACGAGUGUGAGAGUGGAAAGUUCACACUGUGACGGUAUCUUACCAGAAAGGGACGGCUAACUACGUGCCAGCAGCCGCGGUAAUACGUAGGUCCCGAGCGUUGUCCGGAUUUAUUGGGCGUAAAGCGAGCGCAGGCGGUUAGAUAAGUCUGAAGUUAAAGGCUGUGGCUUAACCAUAGUACGCUUUGGAAACUGUUUAACUUGAGUGCAAGAGGGGAGAGUGGAAUUCCAUGUGUAGCGGUGAAAUGCGUAGAUAUAUGGAGGAACACCGGUGGCGAAAGCGGCUCUCUGGCUUGUAACUGACGCUGAGGCUCGAAAGCGUGGGGAGCAAACAGG
RNAcentral lists this ribosomal RNA (762 nucleotides) under uncultured Streptococcus sp. RNAcentral describes it as "bacterial SSU rRNA". It matches the Rfam family "Bacterial small subunit ribosomal RNA", at positions 28 to 776 of the family's 1533-position model. Lineage: Bacteria; Bacillati; Bacillota; Bacilli; Lactobacillales; Streptococcaceae. The record is from RNAcentral.